CACAUAUCAAUAAGCGGAGGAAAAGAAACCAACAGGGAUUGCCCUAGUAACGGCGAGUGAAGCGGCAACAGCUCAAAUUUGAAAUCUGGCGCAAGCCCGAGUUGUAAUUUGUAGAGGAUGUUUCUGGCGACGUGCCUUCCGAGUUCCCUGGAACGGGACGCCAUAGAGGGUGAGAGCCCCGUACGGUUGGUUGCCUAGCCUCUGUGAAACUCCUUCGACGAGUCGAGUAGUUUGGGAAUGCUGCUCUAAAUGGGAGGUAUACGUCUUCUAAAGCUAAAUACCGGCCAGAGACCGAUAGCGCACAAGUAGAGUGAUCGAAAGAUGAAAAGCACUUUGAAAAGAGGGUUAAAUAGUACGUGAAAUUGUUGAAAGGGAAGCGUUUAUGACCAGACUUGAGCAGGUUGAUCAUCCGUGGUUCUCCGCGGUGCACUCUGCCUGUUCAGGCCAGCAUCAGUUUGGUUCGGGGGAUAAAGGCUUCGGGAAUGUAGCUCCCUCGGGAGUGUUAUAGACCGUUGCGUAAUACCCUGAUCCGGACUGAGGUUCGCGCUCUGCAAGGAUGCUGGCGUAAUGGUCAUCAGCGACCCGUCUUGAAACACGGACCAAGGAGUCGUCUUCGUAUGCGAGUGUUCGGGUGUCAAACCCCUACGCGUAAUGAAAGUGAACGUAGGAGAGAGCUUCGGCGCAUCUCCGACCGAUCCUGAUGUUCUCGGAUGGAUUUGAGUAAGAGCAUACGGGGCCGGACCCGAAAGAAGGUGAACUAUGCCUGUAUAGGGUGAAGCCAGAGGAAACUCUGGUGGAGGCUCGCAGCGGUUCUGACGUGCAAAUCGAUCGUCAAAUAUGGGCAUGGGGGGCGAAAGACUAAUCGAACCUUCUAGUAGCUGGUUUCCGCGAG
This 892-nucleotide ribosomal RNA is filed under the name Sesquicillium rossmaniae. RNAcentral describes it as "LSU rRNA". It matches the Rfam family "Eukaryotic large subunit ribosomal RNA", at positions 37 to 964 of the family's 3401-position model. The record is from RNAcentral. Lineage: Eukaryota; Fungi; Ascomycota; Sordariomycetes; Hypocreales; Bionectriaceae.